RNAcentral lists this ribosomal RNA (493 nucleotides) under uncultured bacterium. Its description in RNAcentral is "bacterial SSU rRNA". It matches the Rfam family "Bacterial small subunit ribosomal RNA", at positions 899 to 1397 of the family's 1533-position model. The record is from RNAcentral.
ACUCAAAUGAAUUGACGGGCACCCGCACAAGCGGUGGAGCAUGCUGUUUAAUUCGAAGAUACGCGAAGAACCUUACCUAGACUUGACAUCCCCGGCAAUGCUAUAGAGAUAUAGCGGAGGUUACCCGGGAGACAGGUGGUGCAUGGUUGUCGUCAGCUCGUGUCGUGAGAUGUUCGGUUAAGUCCGUUAACGAGCGCAACCCUCAUCCUUAGUUACUAACUAUUUGGUAGAGGACUCUAAGGAUACUGCCGGUGAUAAACCGGAGGAAGGUGGGGAUGAUGUCAAAUCAUCAUGCCCCUUACGUCUAGGGCUACAGGCGUGCUACAAUGGCCAAUACAAAGAGAUGCAAUAUCGUAAGAUGGAGCAAAUCUUCAAAGUUGGUCUCAGUUCGGAUUGAGGUCUGCAACUCGACCUCAUGAAGCUGGAAUCGCUAGUAAUCCUGAAUCAGAAUGUCAGGGUGAAUACGUUCCCGGGUGUUGCACACACCGCCCGU